This 253-nucleotide unclassified non-coding RNA is filed under the name uncultured Myxococcales bacterium. RNAcentral's name for it is "contains 16S-23S intergenic spacer region". It matches the Rfam family "Bacterial small subunit ribosomal RNA", at positions 524 to 776 of the family's 1533-position model. Lineage: Bacteria; Pseudomonadati; Myxococcota; Myxococcia; Myxococcales. The record is from RNAcentral.
GACAGAGGGUGCGAACGUUGCUCGGAAUUACUGGGCGUAAAGCGCGUGUAGGCGGAUCUGCAAGUCAGGUGUGAAAGCCCUGGGCUCAACCCAGGAACGGCACUUGAAACUGCAGGUCUUGAGUGGUGGAGAGGGAAGUGGAAUUCCUGGUGUAGAGGUGAAAUUCGUAGAUAUCAGGAGGAACACCGGUGGCGAAGGCGGCUUCCUGGACACUAACUGACGCUGAGACGCGAAAGCGUGGGGAGCAAACAGG